RNAcentral lists this ribosomal RNA (437 nucleotides) under uncultured Oscillospiraceae bacterium. RNAcentral describes it as "bacterial SSU rRNA". It matches the Rfam family "Bacterial small subunit ribosomal RNA", at positions 341 to 792 of the family's 1533-position model. The record is from RNAcentral. Lineage: Bacteria; Bacillati; Bacillota; Clostridia; Eubacteriales; Oscillospiraceae.
ACGGAAGGCAGCAGUGGGGAAUAUUGGGCAAUGGGCGAAAGCCUGACCCAGCAACGCCGUGUGAAGGAAGAAGGUCUUCGGAUUGUAAACUUCUUUUAUCAGGGACGAAGAAAGUGACGGUACCUGAUGAAUAAGCCACGGCUAACUACGUGCCAGCAGCCGCGGUAAUACGUAGGUGGCAAGCGUUAUCCGGAUUUACUGGGUGUAAAGGGCGCGUAGGCGGGGAUGCAAGUCAGAUGUGAAAUCCAUGGGCUCAACCCAUGAACUGCAUUUGAAACUGUAUCUCUUGAGUGUCGGAGAGGUAGACGGAAUUCCUUGUGUAGCGGUGAAAUGCGUAGAUAUAAGGAAGAACACCAGUGGCGAAGGCGAUCUACUGGACAGUAACUGACGCUGAGGCGCGAGAGCGUGGGGAGCAAACAGGAUUAGAUACCCUGGUA